GUUCCUCUUUCCAGACACAAUAAACACCUGCAUGAAGUGCAAAAUGUAAAGGCAAACUUGAAGAGAAAACCAGCAUCUCCAUGUUGGCUGCUGUAGCUUUUUCAGCUUGAUCUGACCAGUUGCGCUGCUGCUGGAGAAGCAGACAUAGAGACAAAAGCAGAGCAGCUCACUAACUUUCUGAUGAAGCAACUGAACCUCCCCGCUUGCAAGCAGAUGCAGCAACCCAUAGGAAAUGGGCAUCCUCCAAACCUGCUCAUCAUCCUGUACAGCUGGGACAGAAGCACAGCAUGCAGGUAUGGGUCCCUGCCCCUCCAAGCACAGGGCGCACAGUCCUCUCCGUCACUGGGCUUGUGACUGCCUUGCCCCCUACAUCCCGGCACCAGAAGGAAAUUCCUGUUUCAUGGUCCUUCUGCCUUUUGCCACAAUGGAGAG
Molecule: long non-coding RNA, 432 nt
Organism: Grus americana (Whooping crane)
Lineage: Eukaryota; Metazoa; Chordata; Aves; Gruiformes; Gruidae
Exons: 2
Source: RefSeq, a predicted model, not a curated record